RNAcentral lists this ribosomal RNA (271 nucleotides) under uncultured bacterium. Its description in RNAcentral is "partial 16S ribosomal RNA". It matches the Rfam family "Bacterial small subunit ribosomal RNA", at positions 524 to 794 of the family's 1533-position model. The record is from RNAcentral.
UACGGAGGGAGCUAGCGUUGUUCGGAAUUACUGGGCGUAAAGCGUACGUAGGCGGUGAUUCAAGUCAGAGGUGAAAGCCUGGAGCUCAACUCCAGAACUGCCUUUGAAACUAGAUCGCUAGAAUCACGGAGAGGUGAGUGGAAUUCCGAGUGUAGAGGUGAAAUUCGUAGAUAUUCGGAAGAACACCAGUGGCGAAGGCGGCUCACUGGACGUGUAUUGACGCUGAGGUACGAAAGCGUGGGGAGCAAACAGGAUUAGAAACCCUUGUAGU